GACGAACGCGGGCGGCGUGCCUAAUACAUGCAAGUAGAACGCGAAGGAGGAGCUUGCUUCUCUGGAUGAGUUGCGAACGGGUGAGUAACGCGUAGGUAACCUGCCUGGUAGCGGGGGAUAACUAUUGGAAACGAUAGCUAAUACCGCAUAAGAGUAGAUGUUGCAUGACAUUUGCUUAAAAGGUGCAAUUGCAUCACUACCAGAUGGACCUGCGUUGUAUUAGCUAGUUGGUGGGGUAACGGCUCACCAAGGCGACGAUAUAUAGCCGACCUGAGAGGGUGAUCGGCCACACUGGGACUGAGACACGGCCCAGACUCCUACGGGAGGCAGCAGUAGGGAAUCUUCGGCAAUGGACGGAAGUCUGACCGAGCAACGCCGCGUGAGUGAAGAAGGUUUUCGGAUCGUAAAGCUCUGUUGUAAGAGAAGAACGAGUGUGAGAGUGGAAAGUUCACACUGUGACGGUAUCUUACCAGAAAGGGACGGCUAACUACGUGCCAGCAGCCGCGGUAAUACGUAGGUGGCAAGCGUUAUCCGGAUUUAUUGGGCGUAAAGAGAGUGCAGGCGGUUUUCUAAGUCUGAUGUGAAAGCCUUCGGCUUAACCGGAGAAGUGCAUCGGAAACUGGAUAACUUGAGUGCAGAAGAGGGUAGUGGAACUCCAUGUGUAGCGGUGGAAUGCGUAGAUAUAUGGAAGAACACCAGUGGCGAAGGCGGCUACCUGGUCUGCAACUGACGCUGAGACUCGAAAGUAUGGGUAGCGAACAGG
RNAcentral lists this ribosomal RNA (763 nucleotides) under uncultured Streptococcus sp. Its description in RNAcentral is "bacterial SSU rRNA". It matches the Rfam family "Bacterial small subunit ribosomal RNA", at positions 28 to 776 of the family's 1533-position model. The record is from RNAcentral. Lineage: Bacteria; Bacillati; Bacillota; Bacilli; Lactobacillales; Streptococcaceae.